AACGAACGCUGGCGGCAGGCCUAACACAUGCAAGUCGAGCGAGGGAGCAAUCCCUAGCGGCGGACGGGUGAGUAACGCGUGGGAACGUGCCCCUUGGUACGGAAUAGCCCCGGGAAACUGGGAGUAAUACCGUAUGUGGUCGAGAGACGAAAGAUUUAUCGCCAAGGGAUCGGCCCGCGUUGGAUUAGGUAGUUGGUGGGGUAAUGGCCUACCAAGCCGACGAUCCAUAGCUGGUUUGAGAGGAUGAUCAGCCACACUGGGACUGAGACACGGCCCAGACUCCUACGGGAGGCAGCAGUGGGGAAUCUUAGACAAUGGGCGCAAGCCUGAUCUAGCCAUGCCGCGUGAGCGAUGAAGGCCUUAGGGUUGUAAAGCUCUUUCGUGGGGGAAGAUAAUGACUAGUACCCCCAAGAAGAAGCCCCGGCUAACUCCGUG
Molecule: ribosomal RNA, 435 nt
Filed under: uncultured bacterium
Lineage: Bacteria
Description: bacterial SSU rRNA
Rfam family: Bacterial small subunit ribosomal RNA
Source: RNAcentral